RNAcentral lists this small RNA (613 nucleotides) under Pongo abelii (Sumatran orangutan). RNAcentral describes it as "processed transcript". The record is from RNAcentral. Lineage: Eukaryota; Metazoa; Chordata; Mammalia; Primates; Hominidae.
UUAAUGGUUCACUCGAGGUCACAGGGUCUCUUGGUGGGUGUUUGCCAAAUUACUGUUGAGCAUCUUCACAUAACCAAGCAAGGCUUCCAGGGGCUGACUGGGUUCAGAGCUGUGAGAACUCAUGCGUGUCUGGGAUUUCUAACUUUUUCCCCUCCUCUUCUUCUUCUCUCAUUAGCUUCGCCUCAACAGCAUCAAGAAGCUGUCCACCAUUGCCUUGGCCCUUGGGGUCGAAAGGACCCGAAGUGAGCUUCUGCCUUUCCUUACAGAUACCAUCUAUGAUGAAGAUGAGGUCCUCCUGGCCCUGGCAGAACAGCUGGGAACCUUCACUACCCUGGUGGGAGGCCCAGAGUACGUGCACUGCCUGCUGCCACCGCUGGAGUCGCUGGCCACAGUGGAGGAGACAGUGGUGCGGGACAAGGCAGUGGAGUCCUUACGGGCCAUCUCACACGAGCACUCGCCCUCUGACCUGGAGGCGCACUUUGUGCCGCUAGUGAAGCGGCUGGCGGGCGGCGACUGGUUCACCUCCCGCACCUCGGCCUGCGGCCUCUUCUCCGUCUGCUACCCCCGAGUGUCCAGUGCUGUCAAGGCGGAACUUCGACAGUACUUCCGGAAC